RNAcentral lists this ribosomal RNA (258 nucleotides) under uncultured bacterium. Its description in RNAcentral is "partial 16S ribosomal RNA". It matches the Rfam family "Bacterial small subunit ribosomal RNA", at positions 15 to 265 of the family's 1533-position model. The record is from RNAcentral.
GAUCCUGGCUCAGGAUGAACGCUAGCUACAGGCUUAACACAUGCAAGUCGAGGGGUAUCGGGAAGAAAGCUUGCUUUCUUUGCCGGCGACCGGCGCACGGGUGAGUAACACGUAUCCAACCUGCCCUUUACUCGGGGAUAGCCUUUCGAAAGAAAGAUUAAUACCCGAUGGCAUAAUGAUUCCGCAUGGUUUCAUUAUUAAAGGAUUCCGGUAAAGGAUGGGGAUGCGUUCCAUUAGGUUGUUGGUGAGGUAACGGCU